This is a long non-coding RNA of Cyprinus carpio carpio, 734 nucleotides long. Lineage: Eukaryota; Metazoa; Chordata; Actinopteri; Cypriniformes; Cyprinidae. The record is from Ensembl.
CUCUCUGGUUGUAGUGUCCUCAGUGCAGUGUUAAACAGGAUGGCCUUGUAAGACAUACAGGACUCAAAAAAUAUCUGAUAUUUAUUUGACAUAUAUUUUUAAUAUCUGAUAAACUUCUGAAUGUUUGAGGUUUUUCUUACUAGUCAGAUGGUUCAUAGUGCCUGGAGAAGUUCUUCAACAAGAGGUCCACUCCAACUCUGCUGCACGGUCAUCAGCAUGGAAGAAUAUAGGAAAAUAAACAAUGUGUCACAGAGCCAACAAUACUGGACCUCUUGUUGAAGAACUUCUCCAGGCACUAUGAACCAUCUGACUAAUGCUGUCAUGAAAAGGCAACUGCUGGACACCUGGGACAGGCCAUCAAUUCCAAGUUGGCGGAACUGAGGUUUCAACUGAAGAAAAAGGAGACCUGUUAGAGUUUAGAGUUGUCUAAUAGAGAGGGUGAAGGAAGAACAUCCAAACCCUGCCCCUGCUUCCUUCAAGAUUUUUUAUGGAUUUAUAUAAUGGUGUUUUUUCGUAAAGUAAAGACAGUGGCAAAAUUAACAUGACACUACUUUGAUGUUUUGUUCUACAAAUUAAACCACACACACACUCCAAAAACACCAAUUUUGAUACAAUUUACAUUUGCAAGAAAAAAAAAAUCAAAGUAUUGUCAUGUUAAUUUUGCCACUGCCUUUACUUUACGAAAAAACACCAUUAUAUAAAUCCAUAAAAUCUUGAAGAAAUCAGGGGCAGGG